Molecule: unclassified non-coding RNA, 148 nt
Organism: Macaca fascicularis (crab-eating macaque)
Lineage: Eukaryota; Metazoa; Chordata; Mammalia; Primates; Cercopithecidae
Rfam family: Metazoan signal recognition particle RNA
About the family: The signal recognition particle (SRP) is a universally conserved ribonucleoprotein. It is involved in the co-translational targeting of proteins to membranes. The eukaryotic SRP consists of a 300-nucleotide 7S RNA and six proteins: SRPs 72, 68, 54, 19, 14, and 9.
Source: Ensembl
GCUGGGCGUGGUGGUGCACGCCUGUAAUCCCAGCUACUCAGGAGGUUGAGGUGGGAGAAUCGCUUGAACCCAGGAGGUGGAGGUUGCAGUGAGCCGAGAUCGCGCCACUGCACUCCAGCCUGGGUGACAGAGCGAGACUUUGUCUCAA